This 476-nucleotide ribosomal RNA is filed under the name uncultured eukaryote. RNAcentral's name for it is "partial 18S ribosomal RNA". The stretch from base 1 to 408 matches the Rfam family "Eukaryotic small subunit ribosomal RNA", at positions 62 to 478 of the family's 1831-position model. The record is from RNAcentral.
GAUUUGUUUUUUCUUAACAUUAGAUUGCAGACGGCUCAUUAUAACAGUUAUUGUAUUAUUGACGUUAAAUUUUAGGUGGAUACCUGUGGUAAUUCUAGAGCUAAUACAUGCCACACAAAAUGUACAUUUACGUAUAUUAUUAAGGUAUUAUUUUUUUUCAAAUUAAAAUGUUUCGGCAGUAUGGAUGAUUCAAAGUAAUGGUUUUAAAACGCGAUUGAGUACCCSCCCUGUUAUGUAAGUUUCUGACCUAUCAGUUAGUCAGWAAKGUAUUGGACUACUGAGGGGUUGACGGGUAAAAAAAAAWWAKGGUUYUGUUCCBGAAAGGGAGNCAGAAAACCANNUACUACAUCUAAAGGAGCGGCNGGCCCGUAAAUUACCCCANCCUGAUAUUAUAGGUAGGGACAAAAAAAAAAAUAUUUUCCCUUAAGGGUAAUAAAUUGAUUUGAAAAAAAAGAAUCCAUUUUAUUUAAAAAUUA